GACGAACGCUGGCGGCGUGCUUAACACAUGCCAGUCGAACGGAAAGGCCCUGCUUUUUUGGGGUUCUCGAUUGGCGAACGGGUGAGUAACACGUGUGUAACCUGCCCUUGACUUUGGUAUAACUUCAGGAAACUGGGGCUAAUACCGUAUAGGAUCUCCUGCUGCAUUGUGGGGGUUGGAAAGUUUCGGCGGUUGGGGAUGGACUCGCGGCUUAUCAGCUUGUUGGUUGGGUAGUGGCUUACCCAGGCUUUGACGGGUAGCCGACCUGUGAGGGUGACCGGGGACAUUGGGACUGAGAGAGGGGCCAGACGGCAACGGGAGGCAGUGGUGGGGAAUAUUACACAAUGGGAGGAAGCCUGAUACAGAAACGCCGCGGGCGGAAUGACGGCCUUCGGGUUGUAAAAAGCUGUAGCCUGUGACGAAGCGUGAGUGACGGUAAUGGGUAAAGAAGCACCGGCUAACUACGUG
This 468-nucleotide ribosomal RNA is filed under the name uncultured bacterium. Its description in RNAcentral is "partial 16S ribosomal RNA". It matches the Rfam family "Bacterial small subunit ribosomal RNA", at positions 28 to 507 of the family's 1533-position model. The record is from RNAcentral.